Molecule: unclassified non-coding RNA, 3215 nt
Filed under: Orussus abietinus
Lineage: Eukaryota; Metazoa; Arthropoda; Insecta; Hymenoptera; Orussidae
Description: pDZ domain-containing protein 8, transcript variant X1
Source: RNAcentral
UUGUCAGAUGUGCUUUUAAUAUGGACAUUUUUGAGACGAUUUUUGUAUCCAUAAUCACAUUCAUCUGUGGUAUAGUAUGUACGUUGCUUUUGGAAUUCUACGUUUUCAAGAAAUAUUUGGAAGCAGCUCCUGAAGCGAGUCCACCCAGAAAACCGUUACCUCAUGGAAAAGCAAUAUUUCCUAAGGAACUCCUAAAUGAUUUGGAGCAGGAAAAGUCGAGUAUCACUGGUACGCCACGGCGGGAUCUGUCCCAGGGUAAUGAGAAUCUUGCAAUUAAUCUUACUCUCCAGUUUCUUUUUAAUGAACUUAAAAACGCAGAACGCGUACGUUUAUGGAUGUAUCGAAAGCUGAAUAAUGAGUUCAGGGAACUUCUCACUCAAACCACUACCGGAAAACUUUUUGACAGCAUUCAGCUGCGGGAUCUACAUCUUGGCACACAGUUUCCUACUAUAAAGGGACUGGAAGUUGCGGAUGCAAAAAUCAACGCCGAUACUGGUUUACUCGAAACUUUAGAUCUUUCAUUAGAUUUACAUUAUUCUGGUAAUUUUCAACUUUCAAUCGAUGUGAAGAUGUUAUUAGGGAAAACAGCAUAUAUGGCUCUGCAAGUGAAGCGUGUUACUGGCAGAGCUAGAUUACAGUUUACUCGUGUUCCAUAUACUCAUUGGUCUCUUAGUUUUUAUUCAGAUCCCAUUUUGGAACUAGAAGUACAAUCCCAAUUUCAGGGACGUCAAUUACAACCACAAAUUGUUUCUCUUAUCAUAGGUCAAAUAAGACGAGCAAUUCGUCGAAAACAUACGCUUCCUCGUUAUAAAAUGAGAUAUAAACCAUUUUUCCGCAGACUGAAUGAUGAAGAUAUUGAUUUGACUGAUGUGGCAGGUAUACACGUUACUCCAGGACAAUUGGAAGUGCAUUUAUUAGAAGUCAGCCGAUUAAAUUUCUCAUCGUGCAAGUUUAACGUAGAAGAUUUAUCACAAGCUGAAAUUUAUUGUACUAUGAGCGUUGAUAUGACACCUUGGGUCUACCUCACACAGUACAACGAAGUACCAUAUAUGGUGCUUGAUCUAAUCGUCAGUAAGACUAGUUCUCAGCAGCUCGGUGUUGUAUUCAAGCAAGAAACUGUUCCAGAAGUAGGACUAAAUUGCGUCCUUGUCGAGACUAUCGUUGCUGGAAGCCCAGCAGCUAUUGCUGAAAUGAGGAAAGGUGACAUAUUAGUUGCCGUUGAUGGAAAGAAAGUAUCAAAUAUGAACCAAGUUGCCAAACUUGUCAAAAGUGCAGCUCAAAGAAGGUUUAUCAUAAGAGUCGAAAGGAAGUAUGUCAGGUUUGAUUUUGAUAGGCACAGUUCACUGAAAUCUGACACCGAAAGAGUUUCGUUUGAUAAGAGUGUAGAUAAGAAAAGCGCAAAGGGUGAUUACACAAGUGGUAAAUCCGAUGUGCCAAAUACAGAAGACAAUUAUAAAACGAAAUUUGAAGGACUAAUUAAAUUCUCCGAUUUAAAAGAUUCCGAUUAUGAGACAACGGACAAAAGUGAACCAGUUAAUAAGUUAUUCAAAAGAAGACGAAGCAGCUCACAUCUAAACUCAGACGAUGGUACUCAGACCCCAGAAUCUCCAUUUAGAAGAAUCUCGACAUGUUCCAAUCAAUCGACAACCUCUAGUAAUGCACCAACGUCCAGUGCAGAUGAUAAUUUUGUACCAAAUAUGACAGAUUUAUAUUAUACUACAAAGGAUAAAGCUCUUGCCUCUUCAAUCACGUUUGAAGAAUCUAGAAGUUUUCAAAUAGAUUCCGAACUUCAGUAUUUAAACAUAGGAAUAUGGGUGCGAGUCAAAGGCAGCGAACAUUUACCAAAACUAUUAGGUUACAUUAAUGCUCCGAUAAAACUUAUCCUGGCUCAAUGUUCUACAUCUACAACCGGUCACUAUGUCAAAUGCUAUGCUUUAUUACCGCCUGAUACAGCUUCUCCUACUACAUCUGAUACGAAGUUACAAGGAUAUUCAGGCUUUGACCCAACACUUUGCUAUGGAGACGUUCUCUUGUCUUAUAUAUGGACCUCUAAUCAUGGUCGGUCCAAUCGAACUACCACAGACUUUGGUAAAAGAGAAGUGACAGAAACUGUAAAAACUCCGUCAACCCUAAAUGACGAAAACGUUGAUAAGAAAUUACAUGAUUUUAUUAGAACACAUUUUCACCGAGUGACACAUUGUGACUUCUGCUCAAAAAAGAUUUGGCUGAAGGAUGCCGUACAGUGUCGUGACUGUGGGAUGGUAUGUCAUAAAAAGUGCGAAAUUCGCUGCCAAGCGUCUGGGGCUUGUGGUGCCGAAAGUGUCACCUCUUUAGCUUUCGAGGCCGAUGAAGUCGACCCUAACAUAGUCGGGACGGAGAUGGGACCGGAGAUUUCUCUUACCGGUUGCGAAGAUAUUGUUCAGGUACUGAACACGUAGUAAAAAAUACAGAUCAUUCUCGUUAAUAUUUACAUUUCAACAUUGCGGACAUACUUGGUUUAAACGACUGAACAUUAAUUUAUCGUUAAGUUAAUUUAUGAACGUCGAACCAGUCCGGAAGAAUCUAGUCAAAGGGAAAUUAAGACGAGUAACUUCCGUUCUUGAUUCCCUUACGUUUUACAUAUCCGUGGAAAUUGUCUUCCUUUUUUAUACUGUACCGUUUGAGGGUGUCAAAUAAUUUGGUACUAAUGUGCACGAUAGAGUCGCAUCGACCACUAUCCUGGGAUUGUCAAGGAUCGGAUGACAUGAAACUUGACAAAUCGUAGUUUUAUAAACUUGUUAAUUAAUGACAAUCCAAUUGAUGAAUUAAAAGAAGUAGAGUAAUAUUUUAGAAUUUUUUUAGACGUUUUUAAAUCUACAUCAGAAACUGAUCGUCUCAGGUGGCUUUGGUCGGUGGAUCAGGCGAUUCAUUCGUGACGUAAUCAGUGUCCUUUUGGGCUCAUGUAAAUAUAGCGGGAUUGUUAAGCAUGAUCUACUAUUAUUGUUGACAAUAAAACAUGAUCAUCCGCACUGCCAAGGUGAAGGUUUUUUGUAGGCUUGCACCUUGCCCCAGCCACUAAUACACGGAGUGUUUAUAAAGUAUUAAUAAGCCACGGAAAGAGAUCUGUUAUCGUUAUAAGUGCCAUCGUGCUUGAAGUUUGGAACGUAAGAGACAUUCAAGAUCAGUCAUUUGGAAGGCGAGAGCUAGAGAGAAGCCUGUCGAUCACAUUCGAAUAC